AUCUAAAGGCGUCCUCAUGCUUCUUGUGCGGAACAGUUUGUUCAUAUAUUAUGUCUUUCUUCAUUUUGGUCUUCACCAAGGUUUUUUUGGGGCUGUUUGCGCACACAUUUUUUUCUCGAAGCAAACUGAAGAUCUGGAGCCGAAGUCUUUACCCCUUCAUCAUCAUUGGUCAACAGUAGGGAUUAUUCAAAUGUGUUGUCGUUCAACGAUGGACGACUCGUUUUUAUGCACAUUUUUUCACUUGAGAAAUACUGCACCAAACAUCUUAGUUAGAUGCUCGACUAAAGUGAAAGACUCACCAGAAGUGGGCGGGCAGAAAGUCCAUGUCUCCAAUCAUCUUUGCUGAUAGCAAUGUUAUGUUUCCAUAAGUGGAUGAAUUGGUCUAAUGUAGCAUGUAUGGUAAAGCCUCAACCCUUAGCUAUCUCUUCCAACUCAAAUGAGCAAAAAAAAAUGGAAUAAUGAAAAAAUAUGUGUUUUGUGUGACUACAGCACCAGUGAUAGAAGGUAAAUAUGUGUUGUUUUGUGUCUACAGCACCAGUGAUAGAAGGUAAAAUAUGUGUUGUUUUGUGUGACUACAGCACCAGUGAUAGAAGGUAAAUAUGUGUUGUUUUGUGUGACUACAGCACCAGUGAUAGAAGGUAAAUAUGUGUUGUUUUGUGUGACUACAGCACCAGUGAUAGAAGGUAAAAUAUGUGUUGUUUUGUGUGACUACAGCACCAGUGAUAGAAGGUAAAUAUGUGUUGUUUUGUGUGACUACAGCACCAGUGAUAGAAGGUAAAUAUGUGUUGUUUUGUGUGACUACAGCACCAGUGAUAGAAGGUAAAAUAUGUGUUGUUUUGUGUGACUACAGCACCAGUGAUAGAAGGUAAAUAUGUGUUGUUUUGUGUGACUACAGCACCAGUGAUAGAAGGUAAAAUAGAGACAUGUUCUUAUUGAGGCACUGGCUUCGGUUGGGUCAUUAUAAUUCAAAACAAUAUAUUCUAAAAUAAAUCACACACACGCCUC
Molecule: non-coding RNA, 1005 nt
Organism: Salmo salar (Atlantic salmon)
Lineage: Eukaryota; Metazoa; Chordata; Actinopteri; Salmoniformes; Salmonidae
Source: RefSeq, a predicted model, not a curated record